This 375-nucleotide ribosomal RNA is filed under the name uncultured organism. RNAcentral describes it as "partial 16S ribosomal RNA". It matches the Rfam family "Bacterial small subunit ribosomal RNA", at positions 527 to 897 of the family's 1533-position model. The record is from RNAcentral.
GAAUGGUGCAAGCGUUGUUCGGGAAUCACUGGGGCAUAAAGCGCUCGUAGGCGGUGAUGUCAGUCAGUUGUGAAAUCCCUCGGGCUCAACCGAGGAACUGCAACUGAAACUGCGUCGCUGGAGUGUGGGAGGGGAGAACGGAAUUCCUGGUGGAGCGGUGAAAUGCGUAGAUAUCAGGAGGAACGCCGGAGGCGAAAGCGGUUCUCUGGCCCACUACUGACGCUGAGGAGCGAAAGCUAGGGGAGCAAACAGGAUUAGAUACCCUGGUAGUCCUAGCCGUAAACGAUGGGCACUAAGUAGGGGGGCUCCGAAGGCCUCCCUGCCGGAGCUAAUGUGUUAAGUGCCCCGCCUGGGGAGUAUGGUCGCAAAGGCUAA